GAAGAUCAAAGAGUAUUUCUUUGCAGACUUCACCCAGGAAUUGGUACUGAGCUGGAUGCUGAAGCACUUAAUUACCGUAUGUCGAGUGGUUCAAGAGACAGAAGAUGUACCUCAAAGAAUCUGUCCCAAAAACUGACAGUUGCUUGAAGCAUUUCUUGUUCAUGACACCUUCAUGAUAGGACCAUUAUCGGGUUGAAAUAUCUGGUAGACUAUCAGGUUGCCCCCUCAGUUCUUCUGUUAGCUGCUCUUAGAUAAGGCCUUCAAGCCUCAAGUAUCUCUCUCACACACUGAGUCCAUCUGUUUGUUUUCCUGAGGUGCAGAUAGUUGACAUCUGCUUUAGGUCAGAUCAGUCCAAACAACAAGCAAGGUUUAUGCCCUGGAGGCGUUUUGUUUGUGUGAGAUUGUUGGUGUUGAAUUCUUAGCUGCACCAUUUCCUUUCUCCGGCAGAAUGGUGCACAAGUUGCAGUGAAUUUGUUGUUGAUGUUCUGAUGCCUUGAUGGUGUGGAGCUCCUGCUCAAUGCCAAGGCGCUGCAGAUGUCUAAUUCAGGACAGACAAAGUGGGAGAUCUGCAG
Non-coding RNA from Lolium perenne, 572 nucleotides. The record is from RefSeq and is a predicted model, not a curated record. Lineage: Eukaryota; Viridiplantae; Streptophyta; Magnoliopsida; Poales; Poaceae.